GACGAACGCUGGCGGCGUGCCUAAUACAUGCAAGUAGAACGCUGAAGGAGGAGCUUGCUCUUCUGGAUGAGUUGCGAACGGGUGAGUAACGCGUAGGUAACCUGCCUGGUAGCGGGGGAUAACUAUUGGAAACGAUAGCUAAUACCGCAUAAGAGUAGAUGUUGCAUGACAUUUACUUAAAAGGUGCAAUUGCAUCACUACCAGAUGGACCUGCGUUGUAUUAGCUAGUUGGUGGGGUAACGGCUCACCAAGGCGACGAUACAUAGCCGACCUGAGA
This 277-nucleotide ribosomal RNA is filed under the name uncultured bacterium. RNAcentral describes it as "partial 16S ribosomal RNA". It matches the Rfam family "Bacterial small subunit ribosomal RNA", at positions 28 to 297 of the family's 1533-position model. The record is from RNAcentral.